UUUUUUUUGCUUAAGUGUUGUGCAAAAUAUAUUCCUAUUGUGUUGAAUUGAUUAAAGCUUCGGGUGUAUCUUCAUCUGAUAGCUUUUAAUGUCGGGCACAAAUUCUUCCGAAAUCAACCCUUUACUAUGAGGGUUUCAUAAGAGAGGGCCAUCUUAUACUUACGGUGUUGUUGAAGAGGAUGUCUUCUAUUCAUUUUGAUACAAGCAUUUGAAGUUUUUGUUAACUUUCAAAUGAUAAAAUUAACUCAUCAUUCAGACAAGAAAAUAAGAUAAAAAUAAAAUGAUUUUAUUUUAUUCCUUCUAUCUCUAAAAGUACAUAAGCAUUCAUUUGCUAAAAAACUACCAAUACAUGUGGCUAAUUUGUACAACUUAUUUCUACGGGGCUGAUCAUGCAGUCCAUGUUCCUGAUGAGACAUUAUUGUUCUCGGUUCUAGCAGUCCCCGAUUUUUGUGGCAUUCUUGUUGCCGUAUCUUAUACUAUUCCCCCUCCAGAGUUCGAAUGUGAAGUAUGCGAAAUGGAAUACUGAAAGUCUUGCUUCACCGGUGGAAAUGACUUAUGAAUGGUUAAAUAAUCCUUUCUUAGUGAUGGAAGCAAAGCUUUCCAUCAAACCAAAUAUUAUUUAACAAUCCAUAUAUCCGUUUGACGUCGAUGUGAAAAUUUUGGUACCUUAGUGUUUAAAGGUCUUUUCUUUUGCCGACGACGCUCCCUUUGUAGUAUGCUUUCUAGUGCUUCCUCAUUAAAAACCUUGCUAGAAAAACCCAAUUGGGACAAAAACUGAUUGAAGGAAAAAAGAGUGCAGUACAUACUUUCAGUAUCGGCAGUAUCCAUCAACAAUAAUACCUUUUGAGGUGAGUCACGUUCCAAUUGAUGGGCAACUUGACUCCAUCUUGAUUCUCUAACUCCUACGACCCUUUACUGGUGAUAGCUGAAACCCGGUAAGGACCUUCCCAUGUUGGACCCAGCUUCCCGGCGUUGACUUCCCGAGUGCUCUGAGUCCCUUUUUUCAAAACAGAGUCUCCUACUUUGAAAUAGUGGAGAUUAGCCCUCCUCCGUGAAGGUGAUAUCAUCUUACGCAACUUCUCGGAGUCUUGUUGUGAGUCACCGAUAUCUUUGUUUUCUUAGUUGUCGAGAAGGUUAUACUGUUGAUUUCAUUCCCUCCGAAAAUCAUGCUGAUAGUCAAUCGGGGGGAGUUUUAUGCCGCCUUCGAAGGCUUUAUAUUAUCCCGGCCUCUGUCGUAGUUAUUUUUGGCUCGAUCACUUAAAAAUUCCUAAGAUGGCAAUUCUUUAAUAAUGUCGCCACCUCUUCACAUAGAUGCCAACAGUCCCCAGUUCUAUGAUCGCGAGUCCCAUGAUAUUCACACCAUAAGUUAGGAUCCCUCUGUCUAGGAUUAGAUCUGAUUGGCUUUGGGAAUCGUGCUUCUUUGAUAUUUCUCAUCGACGAUACUAAUUCAGCUAAAUUAAUGUUGAAGUUGUAAUCCGAUAAUCUGGGAUAUGUGGAGUCCCGAGCCCCUGGUACCUAUUUUUCUUGUAAUGCCAUGUUGUUCCGGCCACGGUUGGUUCUUCUAUUGGGAGCGAACCUAUCCGAGGACCGAAACCCUUUGCUGUUGCGACCCUCGGUUCUUUCAUACGGCAGGAAACGACCUUUAGAAGACCGCCGAUCCUCAUCGAAGUCACUUUUAAACUUGUCCUGAUUCUUAUCUCGGUCCCAUUACCUGGUUGAUGUGGGGAACCCGAGCUGGUAUCCUCUAUCCCUAUUUUUUGGCUCAUAACGGUUAUGGACAUCCGCACAUGUGGUUGCUUGAAAUUCGAGCAUGCUUUUCUUUAUUUCUGAGAGGUUUCGGAGCUCCGUGGAUUCAAACCCUUUGUUAACACCUCCGCUGCCCACUCAUUCGGUACAAUCGGUAGGAACAUCCUCUCUUUCUGGAACCAAAUCAUGAAUUCUCGCGGUAAAUCAGACUCACCUUGCGCAAUCCUGAAUAUGUCCACCUUCCUGGCUUGGACCUUCCUUUCCCCAGCAUGGGCCUUAAUGAAUCAAUCUGCAAGCAUCUCAAAAGAGUCAAUUGAAUACUUGGUUAAGAGUGAAUACCAUGCCAGGGCCCCUUUUGUGAGGGUUUUGCCAAACGUCUUCAGCAAGACCGACUCAAUCGCAUGUUAAGCCAAAUCUUUCCCUUUCAUAGUCAUGGUGUAGGUUGUGAUGUGCUCCAGUAGAUUCGAGGUGCCAUCGUACUUUGGUAUGUCCAGCAUUUUGAACCUCUUCAAAACUAACUCUGGUCUGCUUAAAUGGCAAUUGCGUGUAUUUUUUUGAAUCCGGGCCCUUUAGAAUUGAUGGUGGGCCUGGAAUCUGACCCAUUCGAGCAUGAAACUCCUUCGCAUUUUGAUCCCUUCAUUCGUUCAUUUUCCUCAUAAAUCUCAUGAGCUCGGUUUUGAAGGGGUCAUUGCCGUUAUCAUUCCCAAAUUCGCUACCGAUUCCCCGGCACCAUCAAAACCGACUUCACCCCUUGGGGUGUUGUUGUCAACCCUCUUAGCCGUUUGAUUUGUAGGAUUGCUGGGAGGAAUUGGGAUCCUUCCAUUUGCAUUAUUGGAAGUACCUGACAACGCUUGUUUUCACUCUGUCAUUACCCGGUCCUCCAUUGAGAAGUGACUCAUGGUUGCUUUCUGCUAUUCUCUUAAGAUUUUCACUAUUUUCACGACAUGUUCCUCUUAUACAUCAUCGGGAUAUUGCCCUUCAUGAACCGGGGUUGCUUUGUCCCUUUCGUUACGGGUGUCUCAGAUUGAGUCAUCAUGUUUAGGCAAAUCUUCGUGUCCCUCAAUGUGUUGUGUGAUGUUGACAUCAUUAGCUGCCAUAUCUGAUUUCUUACUAAGGAAAAAAUCAAACAAGUUAGUGACAAACGUAAGGACCAAAGCAAUUACGUAAUUAUCUAAGCCACACGGUGGGCGCCAAACUGUUUACCCGUAAAACGGUACAGUUAAAUUUGUUGCGUGAUUUAUAGACAAGCGAACUAAUUUGAUCCAAAUAUGAUAAACAAAUAAGAUUAAAAAUGAGACUUAGCAGUUGAAAUUGAAGAAGAUGACAAGCCUGACUGUGAGAGCAAUGCCUCUGAGUACUAAAGUGAAAGAAAUGAUAAAGAACAAGUAAAGUUAUUUAAUUGAGAGCAAAAGUAAAAUACAAUGUGUGUUUGCCAAGAAUUUUGUGUCUUACAAUGGCUACUGAGCCUACUGAUAAUAAAAGUGGCAUUGAUGAAUAUGUAAUGGCAGGCCAUGAAUGAAAUUAUUCUCUAUAACGGUUGCUCAUUUAAUGUUAGAGAAUAUUCUCUCAUUGAAUGCUAUCCGAUGGUAAAUACUCGAUUUGCUUUUGUUGACUAUGCUCCCUUUAGGCUUUACCCGAUGUCGUUUGCAAUUAUUGUAUUCAGUACUGAUUGUUACUUAAGUUUCCUGUUGCUUAUUUUCGGUUCCAUGUGUCAUGUUAUCAUUUGACCAUUUAUUAUAAAUCAAUUUUACCCUAUACAUAUACAUAUAUGUUGGGACAGUUGCAAACCAGCAGGGGUCCAUGAAGCUUAAAUCCCCAAAAAGUAAGAAAGGCGACCAAGGUCCCUCACGCUGAUCUGUGACUUCAAACGAGCAACAAGAGAAUUGACAAGAGAUGAGAUCCUAAAUCAAGAAUGGCAGACAUACAGUAAACAAAAUAAUUUAUCAGUGCUGAAUGAGAAAUAAUAUUAUAAGCAAUUUGUUUUUGAGCCAGUAAAUCCAUAAGAAAGCAGGACAUAUGUUAAACAUUUGUUCCACAUACGACGGGCUUAUUGAAGACCAAUAAAAAGAACGCUUGAUUAAGCAAACAUGCCGAGGUCGAUCUGGAUCAAUAAAAUCAGAAGGUUGAGAUAUGUACACCUCUUCAUCAAAAUUACUGUGAAGAAAGGCAUUAGAGAUAUCCAACUAAGUAAUAUGCCAGUUAUUCGAGAUAGCCAAAGAGAGAAGAAGGCAAAUGAUGGCCGCUUUCACUACUAAACUAAAAGUAUUAACAUAAUCCACUCCAGGUUAUUGAUGAUAUCCUUUAGCAACAAGACGUGUCUUGUAACAAUCAAUGGAUCCACUAAGCUUCACUGUCACGAUCCAUAAUUCCCACCCUCGGGACCGUGAUAACACCUAACAUUUCACUUGCUAGACAAGCCUUAGAUAUAGUUAUUAACCAUUUUUAACAAUUCAAUUCAAGUGAAAAACAAUAAGCUGAAUAAACUUGAAUAUAGUAAAUAAACUAAUAAACAGAUAUAUCCAAAUACAAUCCCAGAACUGGUUUCACGAAUACAUGAGCGUCUAGAGUACUACAAAUAAUAGUCUGAAUAAAAACAUAACUGUCUGAAUCGAAAUAAACAACUAAGGUGAUGUAGAAGGGGACUUCAGGGUUGUGGACGCUGUGUAGCCAUACCUCAAGUCUCUAUCAAGCAUUGGAUCCGAGCAAGUCUACUAAACACCGCUAGGACCCACUUCGAAAUCUGCACAAGAAGUGUAGAGUGNNNNNNNNNNNNNNNNNNNNNNNNNCAGUAAUAAUAAUAAUAAUAAUAAUAAUAAUAAUAAUAAUAAUAAUAAUAAUAAUAAUAAUAAUAAUAAUAAUAAUAAUAAUAAUAAUAAUGAUAAUAAUAAUAAUAAUAAUAACAGGGAAAGAAAAUAGGAAUAAAAGUAAAGCAGUUAAUUUAUGAAAAUGAACUCAACCUUACAAUCAAAUAACCCAAAAUAACAAACCUCGUAACUUCAUAUAAAUAUGUUGAAAACUAAAAAAUAACAACAACGAGUACAACACACAUAAUCCGUUGCGGCGCGCAACCCGAUCCCACCGCACACACAAAACCCUCCCUUUUUUCACCCUAGCAUCAUUUAUCAAUAUCAAGAAUCACGUAUACAAUCUGUUGCGGUACGCAGCCCGACCCCACCAUAUCAUCAUAAUCAAUGUCAUAAUUUUCCCUUAUUAUACCAUAUUAUCAUUUAUCAAUAUCAAGUAUUACAUAUACAACUGUUGUGGCGCGCAACCCGAUCUGACCAUAUCAUCCUUUAUUCCACCAUAUCACAACCGUUGCGGCAUGCAAUCCGAUCUAUAAACAAUUUCAGUAAACGUAAUCAAUCCAUUGACCUAUCGGGUCAUCACAUUCUCCACCUCUAAAACAAGCGUUCGUCCUCGAACGGACAUAGAAAAGUACCUGGACUGGUGAUAAGGUAUGGGUAUCUACUUUGCAUGUCAUACUCAGACUCCCAUGUGGCCGCCUCGAUCGGCUGACCUCUCCACUACACUCGAACUGAAGGGCAAUUCUUAGACCUCAACUUCCGGACUUGCCGGGAUAGAAUGGCCACCAGCUCCUCCUCAUAAGUCAAAUACUUGUCCAAUUGGACUGAGCUGAAAUCUAGCACAUAGGACAGAUCACUACGAUACUUUCGAGCAUGGAGACAUGGAACACUAGAUGAACUAUUGAUAACCUAGGUAUCAAUGCAAGCUUGUAGGCCACAUUCCCCCUUUAUCAAGAAUCUCAAAUGGUUCGAUAUACCUAGGGCUCAACUUGCCCUUCUAUCCGAACCUCAUCACACCCUUUAUGGGUGAAACCCGGAGCAAUGCCCUCUCUCCAACCACGAAUGAAACAUCAUUAACUCUAUGAUCGGCAUAACUCUUCUGCCUAGACUGAGCUGUGCGAAGUCAAUCCUGAAUCAUCUUGAUCUUUUCCAAGACAUCCUGAACCCAAUUGGUACCCAACAAUCGAGCCUCUCCCAGCUCAAACCAACCAACUGUCAAACGACAUCGUCUCCCGUAUAAUACCUCAUAGGAAGUAAUCUGAAUACUCGAUUGGUAGAUGUUGUUGUAGGAAAACUCCGGAAGUGGCAAGAACUGAUCCUAAGAACCCCCGAAAUCCAUAAUGCAAGCGCGAAGCAUAUCCUCUAAUAUUUGAAUGGUGCGCUCGGACUGUCCGUCUGUCUGGGGUGAAAUAUUGUACUCAACUCAACCCGUGAGCCUAACUCACGAUGUACGGCCCUCUAAAAGAGCGAGGUGAACUACGUACCUCGGUCAGAAAUGAUGGACACGGGCACACCGUGAAGACGGACGAUCUCGCAGAUAUAGAUCUCAGACAACCGCUCUGAAGAAUAGAUAACUACCACUGGAAUGAAAUGUGCUGACUUGGUCAACAUGUCUACAAUGAACCAUACUGUGUCAAAUUUCUUCGAAGUCCGGGGGAGACCAACAACAAAAUCCAUGGUAAUACACUCCCACUUCCACUCAGGAAUCUCAAGCUUCUGGAGAAAACCGCCAAGACUCUGAUGCUCGUACUUUACUUGCUGACAAUUCAGACACCGAGCCACAUAUGCAACUAUAUCCUUCUUCAUUCUCCUCCACCAAUAAUGUUUCCGCAAGUCCUGAUACAUCUUGGCGGCACCCGGAUGAAUGGAAUACCGGGAACUGUGGGCCUCCUCAAGAAUCAACUCACGAAGCCCAUCCACAUUGGGCACAUAAAUCCGAACCUGCAUCUGCAACACCCCAUCAUCUCCAAUAGUAACCUGCUUGAAACCACCAUGCCGCACCGUGUCCUUAGGACAAGAAAAUGGGGGUCAUCAUACUAACGCUCUCUGAUGCGCUCAUACAAAGAAGACCGAAAGAGUGUGCAAGCUAGAACGGGACUAGGCUCCAAAACAUCUAACCUCACGAACUGAUUGGAUAAUGCCUGAACAUCUGAUGCAAGCGGUAUCUCACCAAUCGGAAUAUAUGCAAGGCUACCCAUACUCAUAGCCUUUCUACUCAAGGCAUCGGCUACCACAUUGGCCUUUCCUGGAUGAUAUAAAAUAGUGAUAUCAUAGUCUUUCAACAGCUCCAACCGCCUUCUCAGCCUCAAGUUGAGAUCCUUUUGCUUGAAUAAGUAUUGUAGACUCCAAUGAUCUGUGAACACCUCGCACGACACGCCGUAGAGAUAGUGCCUCAAAAUCUUCAGUGCAUGAACAAUGGCUGCCAACUUUAGGUCAUGAACAGGGUAAUUCUUCUUAUGGACCUUCAACUGCCGCGAUGCAUAUGCAAUUCCCCUGCCAUUCUGCAUCAAUACUGCACCGAGCCCAAUACAAGAUGCAUCAUAAUUUAUAGUGUAGGAUCCUGAACUUGUGGGCAACACCAAUACUAGCAUCGUAGUCAAAGUAGUCUUGGGCUUCUGGAAGCUCAGCUCACUCAUCGGACCACCUGAACGGAGCAACCUUCUGGGUCAAUCUAGUUAAUGGGGCUACUAGGGAUGAAAACCCCUCCACGAACCGACGAUAAUAACUCGCAAAACCUAGGAAACUCCAAAUUUCUGUAGCUGAAGUAGGUCUAGGCCAGUUCUGAACCGCCUCAAUCUUCUUAGGAUCCCCUUUAAUUCCCUCGGCCAAUACAACAUGCCCCAAAAAGGAAACUGAGUCCAACCAAAACUCACACUUUGAGAACUUGGCAUAUAACUGACUAUCUCUUAAAGUCUGAAGUACAAUCUGAAGAUGUUGGCCAUGCUCCUCUCGACUGCGGGAGUAUAUCAAGAUAUCAUUAAUGAAUACGAUCGCAAAAGAAUCCAAAUAGGGCUUGAAUACCUGGUUCAUCAAAUCAAUAAAUGUUGCUGGGGCAUUUGUCAACCAAAAUGACAUCACUAGGAACUCAUAAUGCCCAUAUCGAGUCCGAAAAGUUGUCUUAGGGACAUCUGAUGCCCUAAUCUUCAACUGAUGGUAGCCAUACCUCAAAUCAAUCUUCGAAAAUACCUUGGCACCCUGAAGCUGAUCAAAUAAGUCAUCAAUGCUCGGAAAUAGAUACUUGUUCUUGAUAAUGACUUUGUUCAACUGCUGAUAGUCUAUACACAUCCUCAUCGAACCAUCUUUCUUCUAUACGAACAACACGGGUGCACCCUAGGGAGAGACACUAGAGCCAAUAAAUCCGUUAUCAAGUAAAUCUUGCAACUGCUCCUUCAGUUCCUUCAACUCUGGCGGGGCCAUACGAUAUGAUGGAAUAGAAUUAGGCUGAGUGCCAUGAGCCAAAUCAAUAUAGAAGUCAAUAUCUCUGUCGAGUGGAAUCCCCCGCAGAUCUGCAGGAAAUACUCUGGAAACUCACGCACAACAGGUACUAAAUCCAUGGAAGGAACCUCCGCAGUAGAAUCGCGAAUAUAGGCCAAAUAAGCUAGACAUCCCUUCUCGACUAUACGCCGAGCCUUCACCUAAGAAAUAGCAUUGCUGGUAGAAUGGUUAGGAGUCCCUCUCCACUCUAAUCGAGGCAACCCCGGCAUGGCUAAGGUCACCGUCUUGGCGUGACAAUCCAAUAUAGCAUGAUAAAGUGACAGCCAAUACAUGCCCGAAAUAAAAUCAAAGUUUACCACAUCAAGAAGUAGUAAAUCUACACUAGUCUCAAGACUCCCAAUGGUAAUCACACACGAGCGAUACACAUGGUCUACAACUAUAGAAUCUCCCACCGGCGUGGACACAUAUACAGGAGCACUCAAAGAAUCACGAGGCACAACCAUAUAUGAAGCAAAAUAGGAUGACACAUAGGAAUAAGUGGAGCCCGGAUCAAAUAAAACUGAAGCAUCUCUAUGGAAAAUUGGAACAAUACCUGUGAUAAUAGAGUCAGAUGACUCGACCUCAAGUCUAGCCGGGAAUUCAUAAAAUCGGGGUUGGGCCUCACCAUCCUAACCUUUAUUUCUCAGACGGCCUCUAGCUGGCUGGCAUCCACCUCUAGUGGCCUGACCUCAACCUCUGGCAGUCUGACCCCUACUUCUAGCUAGCUGAGCGGGCGGUGGAGAAACCGGUGCCUAAACCAUGGUACGAGAGCUCUACUGUGGCAUGUUGUUCAACAAUCUCGGGUAGUACCUCCUGAUGUGACCAGUAACCCCACAUUCGAAACACCCAUCCUGCUAUUGUGGUUGCUGAAGCUGAAACUGACCCGAACGGGCCAGAUAACCAUGGUGGUAGCUCUGGAUCGGAGGCGCACUGUAGGCUGGCUGCCCAAUAUGAGAUACAUAAGGACCACGACUCCCCGAAGCACUGUGAGAUGACUAAAGCGUUGACUGAAAUGCCCUAGGAGGAUGGCCUCUACCAAGAGUACCCCUGCCACCAGACGAGGCACCACUAAAACUACCAGAAUGACGAGGCCUCUUAUCAAACACCAGCCCCCUCUCCUGACCACGAACCAUCUCGAUCUGUCUAGAAAUAUCUAUGGCCCUCUGGAAAGCAAUAUCAUCUUCAGUCUCCUUGGCCAUCUGUAGCCUGAUACUAAAAGUGAGCCUAUCAAUGAAUCUCCUCACUCUCUCCCUCUCAGUAGGGAGUAAAACAAUGGCAUGGCAAGAUAGGUCCAUAAAUCGAGUCUCAUAUUGGGUAACAGUCAUACUAUCCUGCUGAAGACACUCAAACUGCCUGCGGUAAUCAUCGCUCAAAGUGAAAGGAAUGAAAUUCUCUAGAAAUAGCUGUAAAAACUGAUCCUAGGUAAGUGCAGGUGAACCAGCUGGUAUAGUAAACACAUAAUACCUCCAUCAUCUCUUGGUAGAACCGGUCAUCUGUAACACCACAAAAUCGACCCCAUUGGUCUCAACUAUACCCAUGUUGCGCAACACCUCGUGGAAAAGGUCCAAGUAAUCCUGUGGGUCCUCAGAAGGUGCACCACUAAAACAAAUAGGAAAGAAUUUGGUAAACUUAUCCAGCCUCUACAAGGCCUCAGAAGACAUAGCGGGCCUAUUCCCGGUAUGUGCCGCAAUAACCAGCUGAACUACCCAACUGGCUAGGCUACUGGAGUCUGAUAUAGGAGAGCCACCUGCUUCGGGGUGUGAGUAGCAGAAGUCUAUGCUCCUCCCCUAGCCCGAGAGACAAAUGGUGCCACCAGAAAUGCACUGGUCUGGGCCACACUCUCCAUAAGGCCCACCAAAUAGACUAGAGUGUCCUGAAGCAAGGGAGUGGCUAUGAACCCCUACGGGACCUGAGCUGGUCUGACAGGUAUGGUCUGAGGUGGUACCUCCUCCUCAUAAUCCACCUGAGGCUCCACUGUGGGUGUUACUGCCGAGCUCUAGGCUGAGCUAUGCCUCUAGCUCGACCUCGGCCUUGGCCUCUGCCCCUGGUAGUAGCUUCCAUAGAGGUCUCCGGCUCUUGCCCGGCUGCAGAUGUUGUGCGUGUUCUCUCCAUCUGCGAGAGGACAAGAAUAGAAUGGUUCAAUCAUCAAUGACAUAAUAAAAUCGUACGAUAGAGAAGGAAAGAAGUGGAAUUUUUCCUAAACUCUAUAGCCUCUGGAAGAUAAGUACAGACGUCUCUGUACCGAUCCUUUAGACUCUAUUAAGCUUGCUCAUGACUCGUUAGACCUAGGCAACCUAGUGCUCUGAUACCAACUUGUCACGACCCGAAUUCUCAGCCUCGGGACCGUGAUAGCGCCUAACAUUUCACUUGCUAGGCAAGCCAAUGUUAGAUAUAGUUAUUAACUAUUUUUAACAAUUCAAUUCAAGUGAAAAAUACUAAGCUGAAUAAACUGAAAUACAGUAAAUAAACUAAUAAACAACGAUAUCUAAAUACAAUCCCAGAACUGGUGUCACGAAUACACGAGCGUCUAGAGCACUACAAAUAAUAGUCUGAAUAAAAGCAUAAUUGUCUGAAUGAAAAUAAACAGGUAAGGUGAUGUAGAAGGGGACUUCAGGGCUGCAAACACUGUGCAGUUGUACCUCAAGUCUCCGUCAAGUACUAGAUCCGAGCAAGUUUAUUGAACAUCGCUGGGACCCACUCCGAAAUCUGCACAAGAAGUGCAGAGUGUAGUAUGAGUACAACCGACCUCAUGUACCCUGUAAGUGUCGAGCUUAACCUCGACGAAGUAGUGACGAGGCUAAGGCGGUCACUUACAAUAACCUAUACGCAGUAGUAGUAGUAGUAGUAAUAAUAAUAAUAAUAAUAAUAAUAAUAAUAAUAAUAGUAAUAAUAAUAAUAAUAAUAAUAAUAAUAAUAAUAAUAACAACAACAACAACAACAAUAAUAAUAAUAAUAAUAAUAAUAAUAAUAAUAAUAAUAAUAAUAAUAAUAAUAAUAAUAAUAAUAAUAAUAAUAAUAAUAAUAAUAAUAAUAAUAAUAAUAAUAAUAAUAAUAAUAAUAAUAAUAAUAAUAAUAAUAAUAAUAAUAAUAAUAAAAUAAUAAAUAAUAACUAANNNNNNNNNNNNNNNNNNNNNNNNNNNNNNNNNNNNNNNNNNNNNNNNNNNNNNNNNNNNNNNNNNNNNNNNNNNNNNNNNNNNNNNNNNNNNNNNNNNNNNNNNNNNNNNNNNNNNNNNNNNNNNNNNNNNNNNNNNNNNNNNNNNNCAACAACGAGUACAAUACACAUAAUCCGUUGGGGCGCGCAAUCUGAUCCCAUCGUACACAUACAAUUCUCCCUUAUUUCACCUUAGCAUCAUUUAUAAAUAUCAAGAAUCACGUAUACAAUCCAUUGAUGUGUGCAACCCGAUCCCAUCAUAUCAUCAUAAUUAAUGUCAUAAUUCUCCCUUAUUACACCAUAUUAUCAUUUAUCAAUAUCAAGUAUUACAUACACAACUGUUGCGGUGCGCAACCCGAUCCCACCAUAUCAUCAGAAUCAAUGUCUUAAUCCUCUCUUAUUCCACCAUAUCACAACUGUUGCGGCAUGCAAUCCGAUCCACAAAUAAUUUCAAUAAACAUAAUCAAUCCAAUAGCUCAAUUUACAAGAAUCUCUACAAUCAAAUGAUAUGAAAGCAAGGAAAUAAAGGAACCACGUACUAAUCAAAGGAAUGCUACAAAUAAUACAAAAGCAACAAGACAAGUCAAGUAUGUGACAAUUAAAGUGUGCAAGUAAGACAAUUAAGGCAAGUAGCAAUUAAUCACGGAGUCAUGGAACGGACGAACAAUUCAAUACAAGAAUAAUUAAUGACAUGUAACAAAUCACGGCAUAGAGAUCAAUUAAAGCAUGUAACAUUUAAGGCAUGGAAUGAGAUAAUUCAUGAAAUACGAGAAGACAUGGAAAUAAUUAUUUUGACGGCAUAUAUAUACUCGUCACCUCGCAUAUAUGUCGUUACACACGUAAUUUACAUAACAUAUAGUUCAGGGGUUCCUAAUUCCCACAAAUCAAGGUUAGACCCAUCACUUACCUUGCUCCGCAAUCAAAUCAAAGCUCAACCGGGGCCUUUCCUUUAAAAUUUACCUCCAAACCAAUCGAAUCUAACCAAAUAUAGUUCAAAGUUCAAACAAUUCAAAAUAAGUUUCAGAAACUACCCACGAGUGAAAAAUAUUCCAUCUUUAAUGAUUUUGGAAAAAGUCAACUCCUGGCUCGCUUGGUCAAAAUUCGAGAUUCGGACCAAUACCCAAUUACUCAUUCACCCCCGAGCCCGAUUAUGUUAUUAGUUUCGAAAUCCGACCUCAAUUUGAGGUCUAAAUCUCAAUUUCUCAAAAUUUUUAAAUUCUACCGAAAUCACUAAUUUCUACCAUGAACAAGCAUAGAUUAAAGGUUAGAAAUCAAUGGGUGUUGAUGAAAAUGUAAGAAAACGAGUUAAAAUCUACUAACAUAUGAAGUGGGGAUGAAAUUCCUCUUCCAAAUCGCCUCUAGGCCGAGCUCAAAUGUGAAAAUGGUGAAAAAUGAAGAAAAUCCAGACUUUGGGAUAUUUAAUUGACCGAGCGUCGGGCCUUCUUCGCGUUCGCGAAGGGCCUGACGCGAUCACGAAGAGCAUCGGCCAAAAUGGCCUUCGCGUUCGCGAGGGACCUCACGCGUUUGUGAUGGUCUAUCCCCCAUGACCACCGCGUUCGCGAUGAUCUGUCCCCCCCCCCCCUGACCAUCGCGUUCACGAGCCUGGGCUCACGUUCGCGUAGAGCAAGUCCCAGCCUUCCCCCAGAACCCCUUACUCAUCGCGUUCGCGAGUGUAGAGCUUUGUUCACGAAGGGUGAUCCCUUCAAUGCUUCGUGUUCGCGAGCCCUUCUCCAUGUUCGUGAAGAAGAAAACCUCCCCAUUCCCCAGUUACCCUUCGCGAUCGCGAAGACCAACGCACCAGACAUCAGAAAUAGUGAAAAUCCAGUAUUCCUUCUAAGUCUGAAAUUGUCUGUAGCCUAUCCAAAACUCACCCGAGUCCCUCGGACUCCAAACCAAAUAUGCACACCAGUGUAAUAACAUCAUACGAACUCGCUUGCGCGAUCAAAAUACCAAAAUAAUACCUAAAACUACGAAUCGGACAUCAAAAUGUAUGAAAUUUUCAAAGAAGCUUAAGAACUUUCAAAUUUACAACCGGACGUCCGAAUCAUGUCAAAUCAACUCCGUUUCGCACCAAAUUUUGCAGACAAAUAAUAAAUAAUGAAAUGAACUAUUCCGAGUUCCGGAACAGAAAUUCGAACCCGGUAGCAACAAAGUCAACCUAUGCUCAAACUUAAGAAUUCUUUAAGGCUUCAAAUUACUAAUUUUCAACAAAUCACGUUAAAUCAAGUUAAGGACUUCCGAAUUCGAUUCCGGGCAGACGCCCAACUCCCAAAUCACGAUACGGACCCACCGAGAUCAUCAAAAUACUAAUCCGGGUUCGUUUACAUAAAAUGUUGACCGUAGUCAACUCAUAUCAGUUUUAAGGCAAAAUUUCAUAUUUUCUUCAAUUUUUCAAAACAAGACAUAUAUUGUGCACGUAAAUCGAGGAACACUAAACGGAGCUAGUCNAAAUCNNNNNNNNNNNNNNNNNNNGAAAUCUCAGAACACAGAAAUAAAAGCUAAAACUCAAAAUGACAUAUGGGUCAUCACAUUCACCUUAGUUUUAAAAACCUAUUUACUCAUGAUAACAUUCUAAGAUGAAGGCUUAAUAGAAUUAGCGGAUAUCUCAUAGUAAGAGGUGGGUUGCUUUGGUUUUAAGGAUAUAGUUUGUGAUCUAAUAACCAUUGGAUGAGACUUAUAUGUGGAAGAGCUUGACAAUCUGGUAGGCGGUUGGUCAUUGCUCAAGGGAUAAUAUUAUUCAACAUCAACUACUAUGUUCUCUUCUUCCUUGAGUAGCAAGUAACGAGAUCUCACGCGGAACUAGAAUUUGAUAGAUACGGGUGUCAUUAUUUUAAUACAAACCGACCAUUAGUGAAGAAAAUUAAAUUAGGGCGUACAUUUUGAAUUAAUUUGGUUUUGGACUAAUUUGGUUCGAUUCGGUUCGAUUCGAUCCAUUUUGAAUUUAUUUAAUCUAAUUUAAAAGAUCUUUUUAUGCAUAAAGAAUAUGUGAUACACCCUUUUAUUCUACAUUUAGCUGAUUAAUAUUAUAUUAUGUCUUUGAUACAUUACUCUAAAAGUUUUGUAAAAUUAUAAAAUAAUAUUAGAUGGAUAAAAAGAGAAAAUGAUUAAAAUUACAUCCAAACAAAAUUUGAAGAUCCAGAAAAAGACAAAGCUGGAAAAAAAUAUAUAAUAAAAAUAAAAAUAGAAUUGUACAAAAAAAAGUGAAUAACAAAUUAGAUGAAGAAAAUAAGAGAAAUUAAUAAAAGGAGCAUAAAGAAAAGAAAGAAAGGGAAAAAGAUAACAAAGGAACAACUAGGACAUCGAUAGAGUCUCGACCUUGGUACCUUCAAUUAUUUUGUGACUUGGAAUGCCACUCGUUAUUUAUGUAGGAAUAUUUGAGAAAAAUACUAGUACAUGCAAAAGAUUUUAUUCGAGCGACCGGUGGCGUGCCAUCUCCAAUUCCGUACAUAAAUCCACCAUGGGAUCUCAGAAGACUGGGAAGAACCAACUGUAUGCGUAACAAGUAGUUGUAGAGGUGGUCAGAAUGCUGAUGUAGGGCAUUAUUCAUAGAUUUGCAAAAUAAAAAUUAGCGAUAAAGUACUUAAUGAGAUAGUAGUGUCUGCCAUAUGAGAUGAAUUGGUACGAAGGAAUAUAGACAGUAAGCAGGGGAGCAUUGGUUCAUGUAGCAGACACCACAGCUUUACCCAGAGCAGCAAAAAAUUGUUUCGUCAAAAUAACAUGACGAGUGACAAAAAUAAUUAGAGGAAAUAAUAUCAAAACACGAUAAUACGACCUUAGUUCAAAGGUAUUUAUGUCCUUUCCCUAAAAAUGCAUAUCAAUAUCUUACAAUACAAAUUUUAAAAGUGAAAAACAAAAACUCCGACUAUCUUGACUGUAUCUCUUGAGAGCCAUGUUUUAAAGUGAAAGUUGAGACUUGUUCGGAUCUCGCUCAAAAGCCAAGACGAGUCAGUCUUUACCCGCCCGGGACGAUCAUGGAGAUAUAACGUGUCAUGUUUUGACACAACAACAACAACACAGUAUAAUUAUAUUAGUGGGGUUUGGGGAAGGUAGUUUGUACACAAACUUUAUCCCUACCCUAGGGUAGAGGUUUGGGGAGGGUAGUUUGUACACAGACCUUAUCCCUACCCUAGGGUAGAGAGGCUGUUUUCGAGGCUAUUUCCGAUAGACCCCCUGCUCCCUCCCUCCAAGAACUCUCCACCUUGCUUUUGGGAUGACUCGAACUCACAACCUCUUGGUUGAAAGUAGAGGGUGCUCACCACUAGAGCAACUCACUCUUGUCACAAAUUUCUUAAUAAAUUAGGAAGAAAUUACUAAUGAAUUAGACACCAAUAAAAAAUUUCAAAAAUUUACCCAUGGGGUACUAAUGGAUUAGCCACAGACAUCUUACCAACCAAUAAAAAUAAGGGAUCAUUACAUUGUUGGGUCGGCCUAAAAAAUAAGGGCUAAUAAAUAUAUUUUGUAUAAUUAUUAUAAAUAUAUAUAUAUAUAUAUAUAAUAAACGUGUUAUAUACAAAAGCAAUGUAUAUAUUUUAAUUAUAUUUGGACUAGCGCCCGUAAAAAUCCCUAAAAGUAAAUAACCCGAAAAAAUAGAAUGGAAUUUAGUAACGGUUGAUUACCAAUCAAUUAGGUAUGUACAUGACAACAAAUGAUUUUAGUUUUGUUAGAGCCCAAUCUGUAAGUCCUUCUACAUAAGAGGCCUAAUAGACAAUUGUUUAGGACCCAAUUACUUGUUAUUUUGCCCAUUACACAUUUAUUGUUGUAAAUAUAUAUACUCAUUAAUGAAAUAAAGAAAAAUAGAUGGUCAUUUCUCUUUUAUACUUUCUCUUUGUCUCUCUCUUCUUCUAGACCCUUCUAGGGUUUUCUCACUCACUCUUCCUCUAUAGCUCGUCUGAGGUUCAUCCUAACAUGGUAUCAAAGCGAAAAUUCUAAUUCUCCGCAUCAUGACCUUCAUUCUUAAUGGAGAUUUGCUCAGAGAUUCCAUCAAAAUUGAUUUCUGGUUAAAAUUGAGGAUUUCGUUGGGGUUUUCAUCUGUGGUCGGAAAAGUUUAUAUUUUUAGCUCAAAUCAACCCUUACUACACUCAUAUUGAUGAGAAGUUACAGUUUUGCGAAAGAUUCAACAGAAAUUUCGAAUCGAUUCAAGCUAGGGUGUCUGCGGUACUUGCAAGACCUUACUUCUUCUAGUUUUUAAGAGGAAGGCUGGUAAUAUCACUGUAAUCUACAUACUUCGGGACUAUUUUGAUAUAUCUUAGGGUUUAAAUUGUGUGAGUUCCGUCUUUGCAUGUCGUUAUCAUUUUUGAGAUGUUCUCCGAUCGUAUGAAUAAGGAAUUUUUGUUAUCUAUCUCUAAUUAGUCUACACAAUGGGUAGUACUGGUGAUAGUUCAGCAUCUACACCUGAGGGAUUUUCACCUUUUACACUCGAUCCUUCUUAUCUCUUCUAUGCCCAUCCCUCUUAUGGUCCUGGUAGCCAAUUGGUACCUGUGCCAUUUGAUGGCCAUGGUUUUGUGCUUUAGAAGAGCAGUAUGCUCACUUCUCUCUCAGCCAAAAAUAAAUUAGGGCUUUUAGAUGGUAGAAUCAAUCAACCUAGCCCUAAUUCACCUUAAUAUCCUUACUGAAAGAGAUGCAAUGAUAUGGUAAAAGCCUUGAUCACCAAUUAUGUAUCGCGAGAUAUUGCUACCAGUAUUAUGUGCUUUAGAACUGCCAAGGAAGUUUGGACUGAUAUCAAUGAGAGGUUUGGACAAUCUAAUGGAUCCAAAUAUUUCCAGAUUUAGAGAGAAAUAAGUGGUACUGUUUAGGGGUCUUCAGAUAUUGCAACAUACUUCACCAAAUUUAGAAGCCUUUGGGAUGAGUUAAACCCCUCAUAUGUAGGGGCCAUAUGUUCUUGUGGAGCCCUUCCCAAGUUCAUAGAAGAUCAACAACUUUUCCAAUUAUUAAAUAGGCUUAAUGACUCCUACUCAACUGUGAAAAGUGCAAUAAUGAUCAUGAAUCCUUGCCACCUAUCAGCGAGGCUUACUCUUUCCUACAAUAGGAUGAAAGUCAAAGGGAAACUCCAUCUAGUACUCCAAACUUCUCAAAUGAUUCUGCUUCUUUCUCUGUUUCUUCAACUCAUAACACUUCAAAUAGACCUUUCACACAGAAGGUCAACUUUGACUCCAGGAAGAAUAUGUCUUUUGGUUCUUGUAAGUAUUGCAAGAAAUCUGGUCAUACAGUGGACAAGUGCUACAGGUUACAUGGGUUUCCUGCAGACUUCAAGUUUACUAAGGACAAGAAGUCAGCCUCAUGUGUUCUAAAUGACAUUCCUCAUGGUCUGCCAAGUACUCUUACAUCUCAAUCUUCUGACAGUUCUCUUCAUGGGUUCACAAAGGAACAAUAUCAACACCUGGUGACUUUAUUCCAACAAGUUCAAAUAUCUCUCGGUACUAGUUCUGAGACCUUUCCUGCUAAGAACUCUGGUUUUGCACACUUUGCAGGUUUGUUUACUGCUUAUGUUGUUGAUUCUGAUAAUUCUCAUUUAUGUGCAACUUCUUAGCUAGGAAUAAAUUCUUGGAUAUUAAACUAAGGGGCAACAAAUCACAUGACUCCACAUAAACACUGGCUUCACAAUCUUAUACCCUUACCUAAACCUUUUUUGGUUACCUUACCUAAUGGAUAUAAAGUUAUGGUAAUGUCAACUAGUUCUCUAUACCUUAGACAUGAUAUACCCUUACUUAAUGUCCUUAUUGUACCAUCUUUCCACUUCAACCUAAAUUCUAUACAUCAGUUGAUUUCUCAAUUGGAUUGUAUAGAUAUUCGUAACAAGUUUAAUUGUUCUUUACAGGGCCCUUCUUUGAAGAGGCCACUGGUAAUUGGUAAGGCUGCUGGAAGGUUGUACUAUCUUCAUCCUAUGCUGAUUUAUUUCCUAAUCCAGACCUAUUUUCCUUUUCUAGUUAUGUGUCAUGUAAUAAGUCUGAGUCCACCAUUUCCUUUGUAAAUACUAUUCUAUAUGAUCAGACACCUAUUGUAAAUAAAAUGGAUCUGUUUUGGAAGCAAAGAUUGGGUCAUAUGACUUUUUAUAGAAUGAAGUCUAUUACUUUCAUAUCUGAUAAAGUUUCUUCUAAGCAAUCUUUUAUUUGUUCAAUAUGCCCAAUGGAAAGGCAACAAAGGUUGCCUUUCCCUGAUAGUCAAAUUCAUUCAGCUGUCUCAUUUCAACUAGUACAUAUUGAUGUUUAGGGGCCUUAUAACUAUAAAACUUUCAAUGGUUUCAGAUAUUUUUUAACCUUGUUGAUGAUUACAGUAGAGCCACCUGGACUCAUCUAUUAUCUUGUAAAAGAAAUGCACUUCUAAUCCUUAAAGCUUUAACUUCCAUGGUUAAAGUCAAUUUUCAUUCUUUAAUUCAAACCUUCAGAUCUGAUAAUGCUUAUGAACUUUGUAACAAUCAUGAAGUUGUUUCUUUCUUUACUAACCAAGGGAUUUUGCAUCAAACCACCAUUCCUCACACUCCACAACAGAAUGGGAUUGUGGAGAGGAAACAUAAACAUCUCUUGGAAGUAUCUAGAGAUCAUUUUCAAUCUAAACAACCUCUCAAAUUUUGGGGAGAUUGUGUCUUGACUGCCACCUACCUCAUUAAUAGAAUACCUUUAGCUAUUUUAAACAACAUUUCUCCUUUUGAAAAAUUACAUGGUCACCAACCUCCUUAUGCUCACUUAAGGUCUUUUAGAUGCUUGUGCUUUGCCACUUCUCCCAAAAUUGGCUGAGACAAAUUCCAAUCUAUGGCCAUUCCUAGUCUCUUCCUAGGUUACCCUUGUGGUAAAAAGGGUUACAAACUUCUAUAUCUUUCUACUUCUUUUAUUUUUUACUCUAGGAGUAUUGUGUUCCAUGAACAUAUAUUCCCCUUUUACUCUUCCAACCAUACUAUUACUGCUUCUCCUCCACAACCUUUUGUGGACCUUCCUUCUGCAUCUAUAUCUGCAUAUUCUCCUCCACCUUCUACCAAUCUUCCACUUCUCCCCUAACACAUGUUCCACACCUUCCCCCAGUCCUCUCUUACCUACUGUACUUGUUCAAGCUGUUAGGAAAUCUACUAGGGUUGUCACUCUGUCCUAUUAUCUCAAAAAUUAUAUUUGUACUUCUGUUUUACCCCAUGUUCUUGUCCCUAACCUUUCUAAGGUGUCACAGACUGAGUUGCAUAUGCAUGAGCCUCAGUUCUACCAGCAGGCAGCUUCACAUCCUAUUUGGUAAGAGACCGUGCUAAAGGAAUUUCAAGCUCUUGAGUCCAACAAGACUUGGGACAUUAUUCCACUCCCUCCAUACAAGAAGGCUAUUCUUUGUAAGUGGGUUUACAAGAUUAAAUAGAGGGCAUAUGGUUCCAUUGAGCGGUACAAGGCAAUGUUGGCCACCAGGAGUGAUAAUCAAAAGGAGGGUAUUGAUUUCACCGAAACCUUUUCCCUUGUUGUUAAAUUGACCACCAUCAAAUAUCUCCUUACCUUGGCUGUUAAAAUAGGUUGGACUGUUUAUCAGUUAGAUGUCAAUAAUGCUUUUCUACAUGGUGACCUUCAUAAAAAGGUUUAUAUGAAGAUUCCUCCUGGUCUGGAUAUCUCUUCUACUUCUACCUCCCCUCCUUUGGCUUGUAGACUUAUGAAAUAUUUAUAUUGCCUCAGGCAGGCUUCCAGACAGUAGUUUUUUAAACUGUCUAAAGAACUGCACUCUAGGGGCUACAUUUCUAGUCUCAAUGACUAUUCUUUGUUCACCAAGUCAUCUUCUAGUUCUCUUGUUGUGGUGGCUGUCUAUGUUGAUGAUAUAUUGCUAGUUGGGGGAUGAUGUUGCUGAGUUAGACUCCUUGAAGUUAUUUCUAGACAACCAGUUUAAAAUCAAGGACUAGGGCACAGUUCAUUACUUCCUUAGGUUGGAGAUAUCCUCUAAUCCUCAGGUCUAUCUUAUGACUCAGUCCAAGUACACUACUGAUUUUCAUAGGUGAGUUCAACUGCCAGCAUUUUCUCCUGUUUCCAUACCUCUGGAUCCUUCUAUCAAACUUCAUUUGGAUAUGGAGGCACCUGUGUCUCAUCUAGUCUGUAUAGAAGGCUGAUUGGGAAGUUGAACUUUCUACAACACAUAAGGCCUAACAUCUCUUUCUCUGUUCAACAUCUCAGUAAAUUUCUUCAAUAUCUUCGGGUUCCAUACAUGUUAGCUGCACUUCAUGUUUUAAGGUAUCUCAUGAAUGACCCUACGGGUAUCUUGCUUUCCAAUUUUGCUAACAUGUCUCUUAUGGGGUUCUCUGAUUUUUAUUGGGAUUCUUGCACUAUUUCUCGAAAGUAUGUCAGUGAUUAUUAUAUCACUCUUGGUGGCAGUCCUGUUUCAUGAAAGAACAAGAAACAGUCUACUAUAUCCUUGUAUUCAGCAGAAGCUGAAUAAUCAGACUCCUUGGUGACCUUGGCUUGCCUAUUCUAAUCCUGUUCCUAUGUAUUAUGAUAGUGAGGUUGCUCUGUAUAUUGCCAAGAAUCCUGUCUUCCACGACCGAACAAAGCAUAUAGAGAUUGAUUGUCAUUAUGUUCGUGAAUGUUUACAUGCUGGACUUAUUUCCUUACACUUUGUUUCCAGUGAAGAUCAGUUGGUUGAUAUCAUGACCAAGGCUUUGUCUACUCAACUUCAUUAUGGUAUUCUUGGCAAGCUUGAGAGGGGUGUUAGAGCCCAAUUUGUUAGUCCUUCUACAUUAGAGGCCCAAUAGAUAAUUAUUUAGGACCCGGGCCCAAUUACUUGUUAUUUGGCCCAUUACACACACACACACACACACACACACACACACACACACAUAUAUAUAUAUAUAUAUACUAUAUAUAUUACACACACACACACUCAUUAAUGAAAUAAAGAAAAACAUAUGGUCAUUUCUCUUUUUUACUUUCUCUCUGUCUCUCUCUUCUUCUCGACCCUUCUAGGGUUUUCUCACUCACUCUUCCUCCAUAGCUUAUCUGAGCUUCAUCCUAACACGUUAUUCCCUAUGGUUAAUUGUUACUCCUGAUCCUCAACAAUAAAAAAUUCACGAGGCGCCCUAUUUAGUAGUCAUAUUUAACUUGUACCCACUUUGUAAAAAUAUUUAACUAAUACUAAAAUUAUAGAUAACUUCAGACCUUCUUCUUAAUAGAUAUGAAAACAAAGGCGAUGGUGAAUUUACAUGGUGUUUGUGAGCAGGUUUUAAGGUGGUUUAUGGUAUUUUACAGUUGUGAGAUGUUAUGAUGCUCUUUUCUUUGCAACUGCUUAGGGUUUCUUCUUCUUCUUCUUCUUAAUUGCAAAAUGAGUUUGCUAGAUUUGUUGUUGUUUUGAAAAAUUGAUGAUUAUGGUUUGUUCUUAUGAUAUUUGGUGGUUAUGUUUCAAAUCUGUGCUCAUUUAAAGUUGAUUUAGGCGUUAAACCAUUCCUAGUCUCUUCCUGGAUUACCCUUGUGGUAAAAAGGGUUACAAACUUCUAAAUCUUUCUACUUCUUAUGUUUUUACUCUAGGGAUGUUGUGUGCCAUGAACAUGUAUUCCCCUUUCACUCUUCCAACCAUACUAUUCUUGCUUCUCCUCCAUAACCUUUUGUGGACCUUCCUUCUACAUAUGCAUCUUCUCCUCCACCUUCUGCCAAUCUUCCCACUUCUCCCCCUGACAAAUGUUCCACACCUUCCCCAGUCCUCUCUUACUUACUGUACAUGUUCAAGCUGUCAGAAAAUCCACUAGGGCUGUCACUCAGCCCUAUUAUCUCAAAGAUUACAUAUGUACUUCUAUUUUACCCUAUGUUCUUAUCCCUGACCUUUAUAAGGUGUCCCAGACUGAGUUGCAUAUGCAUAAGCCUCAGUUCUACCAACAUGCAGCUUUAUAUCCUACUUGGCAAGAGACCAUGCUAAAGGAAUUUCAAGCUCCUGAGUCAAACCAGACUUGGGACAUUGUUCCACUCCCUCCAUACAAGAAGGUUAUUCCUUGUAAGUGGGUUUACAAGAUUUAGCAGAGGGCAGAUGGUUCCAUUUAGAGGUACAAGGCAAGGUUGGUCAUCAGGGGUAAUAAUCAAAAAGAGGUUAUUGAUUUCACUAAAACCUUUUCCCUUGUUGUUAAAUUGACCACCAUCAAGUGUCUCCUUACCUUGGCUGUUAAAAAAGGUUGGACUGUUUAUCAGUUAGAUGUCAAUAAUGAUUUUUUGCAUGGUGACCUUCAUGAAAAGGUUUAUAUGCAUAUUCCUCUUGGUCUGGAUGUGUCUUCUACUAUAAGAAAUAACCUACUAUAUCCUUGUAUUCAGCAGAAGCUAAAUAUAGAGCUCUGAGGAAAGGUGCUGCUAAAAUAGCUUGGCUGAUCAGACUCCUUGGUGACCUUGGCUUGCAUGUUCUAAUCAUGUUCCUAUGUAUUGUGAUAGUGAGGUUGCUCUUCAUAUUGCCAAGAAUCCUGUCUUCCAUGACCGAACAAAGCAUAUUUAGAUUGAUUGUCAUUAUGUUCGUAAAUGUCUACAUGUUGGACUUAUUUCUUUACACUUUGUUUCCAGUGCAGAUCAGUUGAUUGAUAUCAUGACCAAGGCUUUGUCUACUCAACUUCAUUAUGGUAUUCUUGGCAAGCUUGGUAUUUUUUCACCCUCAGGCUUGAGGGGGGUGUUAGAGCCCAAUCUGGUAGCCCUUCUACAUUAGAGGCCCAAUAGACAAUUGUUUAGGACCCGAGCCCAAUUACUUGUUAUUUUUCCCAUUACACAUUUAUUGCUAUAAAUAUAUAUACUCAUUAAUGAAAUAAAGAAAAAUAUAUGGUCAUUUCUCUUUUAUACAUUCUCUCUGUCUCUCUCUUCUUCUCGACCCUUCUAGGGUUUUCUCACUCACUCUUCCUCCAUAGCUCGUCUGAGCUUCAUCCUAACACAUUUUGCCCUAUGGUUAAUUGUUACUCCCGAUCCUUAACAAUAAAAAUUUCACGAGGCACCCUAUUUGGUAGUCCUAUUUAACUUGUACCCACUUUUUAAAAAAAGUUUAACUAAUACUAAAAUUACAGAUAACUUCAGACCUUCUUCUUAAUUGCUGUGAAAACAAAGGUGAUGGUGAAUUUACAUGAUGUUUGUGAGCAGGUUUUAAGGUGGUUUAUGGUAUUUUACAGUUGUGAGCUACUGUGAUGCUCAUUUCUUUACAACUGCUUAGGGUUUUUUUUCUUCUUCUUCUUAAUUGCAAAAUGAGUUUGUUAGAUUUGUUGUUAUUGUGAGAAAUUGAUGAUUGUGGUUUGUUCUUAUGAUAUGGAGGUUAUGUUUCAAAUUUGAGCUCAUUUGGAGUUGACUUAGGCGUUAAAUCAUGUGUUAGAUUGUUGAAAUUCUAAAAAAAAAAUUCAUGUUUCUGGAUAAUUUGCACUGCAGGCCUAUUUGACCUUAAGUGCAUGAAAACACUAGUUGCACUUCAGAGCUAUUUGGCCUUAAGUGCAUCUCUAGUGCAAUUUUUCACUUCAUACCUAUUUGGUUUUAAGUACAUGAAAAUAUUUGUUGCACUUCAUACCUAUUUGGCAUUAAACGCAUCUCAAAUGCGAUUUUUGCACUUUAAACAUAAUUGGCCCGAGUGCAUUACACCUCAAAGUAAUUUUUGUUUCAAACUCAGACCCAAUAAAUCUGAAGUUGAUCAUAAAUUAAAUAAACUUGUAAAUUUUUAGGGAUAAUACAUAAUUACCCCUUGAAGUUAAAUCAAUUUUUCAGAUGCACCCUUUAUCUUUGAGGGGAUCCAAUGACCCCCUUGCUAAGUUUGAAGUGAAAUAAAUACCACCUUCGAUGCUGAUCGGCAUAGAGAGUGCAUUUCCCGACCCAACAGGCGUGAGGAACAAUAUAAACAAGACAAAAAGGUUUGGAUGGACCCACCAUCUUCAUUUUGACUCCAUAUACAUUCAUCUUCUUCAUUUUCUUUCUUCCUUCCCUUCUAAUAGCCAUUGAAGGCAAAACUCAAGCUUUCUCAUUCCGAUUUCAUCAAACUUUCCUCUUUAUCUCACAUCUACCUUCCAUCUCUAAUAUCACUUUCCACCAUUUUUGGAGCCAUAAGAAAACACACACAAAAAAAAAAAAUAUCGCUUUUGAAUUGCCGCAAUUAAAUCCACCAAAAUUUAAAAAGAAUGUUAAUUUGUAAUAAAAGAACCUUCCAAACGUUGUUCUACUAUCACAACCCAUUCCAGUUCUUCAUUCUUCAUCUGAAAAUUCCCCUUAUCACUCACUGUUAUUUGCAGAAAAAAUUGCAAAUAAUUAAUAGUAAGAGAGCAACGGCAAAAUACAUUCUUUCUAUACCCGCUUACAUCUUGAAAUUUAUUAGAAGUAACCAAAAAUUAUUUGAAUAUAGCAGCAAGAAAUUUUGAUGGCUGAGAUUUGAAAAAGUGGGCCAAAACUAUUUUUCUGGCUAAUUUUAGUUGAUCCUCUUUCGACGGGUCUACCAUAUUAAUGGAGGAUCUCACCAUUUAUGCACACAUAUUCUUCUUACAUAACCACAAACCCAGUGAUAUAUGAUUUGGUUAAUAAAAAAAGGAAAGGAAAGAAAAAAAAAUAUUUGGAAAGAAUUUUGUGAAGGUCACGUUCUGGGUAGAAGGAAACAGGAGGAAGAUAGAGGGAAGAGAUGAGAGAGAUAAAGGAAAGAAAAAGAAAAAAUAUUAAAACAAAAGAAAC
RNAcentral lists this long non-coding RNA (24770 nucleotides) under Nicotiana tabacum (common tobacco). RNAcentral describes it as "long non-coding RNA (NTAB_LNC017480)". Lineage: Eukaryota; Viridiplantae; Streptophyta; Magnoliopsida; Solanales; Solanaceae. The record is from RNAcentral.